GGUUUAACCGUGCUUAGAAACAAAGUGAAAAACAAGAAAAAAAAAAAGAAAAAAAAAAAGAAGAUAACCAGGUAUUCUUAGAGCUAUAGAUUUUUGGUCACUUGAUUUUAUAGAAUAUUUUAAUACACAGGAAAAAAAAAAAAAGGAUACGAGCAAAUUUAAUCCAACGAGGUAACGCACAGCCGGGGCGUGUGCCUGAGCUGGAACACGUGAAUGAGCAGCCAUAGAAGCCACCAAAAAAGGUUUUCCUGUUGAGACAAAGACCCGAGGUUGACACUGGCCCGUGGGGUCAGGCCUGGAGCUGGUGUUUGCAGAGCAGCCCUGGCUCUGCCCCAGCUGUGACCCUGGGGCUGGGCACGUGGGUGGCACAGGGGUCCCUCCCUCCCUCCCUCCCUGCCAGGCACCUCCUGUGCUCAGCAGCUCACAGAGCAGCCGGGAAGGGACAAGUUCACUCUUGAAGACCCCUUGAGGGAUCUCCCAAGGGGCUGAGGUUUGGGUUGGACUCCAGCUGAGGAGGAUGAAGGUGACCAGGAGCUGGAUGGGCCUCGCUGCGGAUUGUCCCUUUCUUACUGCACUGAUGCUCCAGUGGGAGCAGGAAGCAAUCCCUUGUAAGGCACAGUGGGGCCAGGGAUGAGCCCUCUGUGCUUGGGCAGUGGGAGAAGCCCUGGCUCUGCCAGCACACCAGGCAGGAGGCCCCGAGCCUCAGCCUCUCCUGGUGUGUGCAGAGCACAGGAGGGAUGAAGGAGGAGGCAGUGCUGUAACAUCCCCUCUGUCACUCCAGUGUCUCGGUGUCCGUGGGUGACUGAUGUGAGGAGAACUAGAAAGGAACUGAGCAGUGGGGUGCAGUCCCCAGCCCUCCAACUCCUUAGCCCAGGACAGCGUGAGGCAUCAGGACAGUUCCAAGAUUUACAACUCUGUUUUUACCAUUAAAACCAGAUCAGCCCAGAAAUUUGGCCAGCCACGGUCUGUGCUUGUCCCCUGCUGGGGGAACCGAAAUCCUUUGUUUGAUUUCACCAGCAAUAAGAGCCUGCAGCUGCUGGGCUCCCCCUGACAGCCUGCAGCGUCACCGGGCACGCCUGGGGCACCUGGAGCUGGGCUUUGGGCUCCCUGACUGGGCCGGGGACAGAACGGGGCCAGCAGCGCUGGGAAGCCACAGCCUUUACCUCUAGGGCAGCCGUCUCCUUUUGUGUCACUCCAUCCUUCCUCUGUCUCUCUCUGUUUGGGGUUUUCUUAGGCCAAGGGGUGUCUGUGGCCACCUCACCGUCCGAGUCAGGUGCUCAACUUUUCUAACACUGGUUAGAGACACAUCCAGCCUCCCUUUGUCCCCGGCUCUCCGGGCCCCAGCCCUCAAGGGGACACAGGACUCCACUCAGCAGUGCCAAAAAUCUUCACCACACCAGUCCCGAGCCCCUGGAGCUCCCUGUGCCCUGUCCCCAAAGCCUGGCUGGUUUUUAUACCGAGCUGUCUGCAGAACUCUCUGCCACGUGCCUGCACUCUGAAUGUUGCAUUCCUGGGCACUCCUGCUUCACCCUGCUUUGGUGGCUCCCAAUUCAGAUGUGAUCGGCUUUGGUCUUCCUUAAAGGGUCAGGGGAACUCUGGAAAUGCUUUUUUUACUGGCUCCAUACAGCUGUGUCUGUGUGAGUGUGGGAGGGUGAGCGUGUGUGUGUGUGUGUGUUUGUAUAGAUUUUAUAGAUGUAUCUAUAUCCACACACCUGCUUUUCUAUCUGUAGGGUAGUCACACACAUCUGUAGUCUAUUUAUGCACAUGUGUCAGCACACACACACACACAUUUAUAUAUAUAUAUGUAUAUCCUAGUUUUAAAUUACAUGUCAGUUCUGACCCUCCUGCAGGGCUGAUUGGCAGGUGACAAUUAUAACCUCUAGAUCCUGCUUUUCCAAAUAUGUACAGGUUCAUCUUGAAACAGGAAUUGGAGCAGACUCACAGACCCUCUCAUGUUUUCAGAGGUACAAGGAAGACUCCCAAUAUCCUUUUCUGUUUUUUGGGGGUUUUGAGCAAACCCUGUGUGCCAGAGGGCCCCUGGCCGAGCACCUGGAGAGCUUGGGGGGCUCCUUGUGGGGCUGGGGGGAAAGGCCUCCAGCCCUCCUGGGUUCCUGUCCCAUGGCUGCUGCACUGGCCCCAAAUCCUGGCCACCCUGGGGCCACCCAGCCCCUCCUCACUGCGGGACAUCCUCCUUGGCUUUGCUUCCCUCGGGGAUCUUCUUUGGGUUUCCAGCUCUCAGCACUGCAGUAGCCAACAUUGAGUUAUUCUGACUGGACCCCAGUCAACACUAGGCUUGUCUCAGUAGGUGGAACUAUAUUUAUUACUAUUAUUAUUAUUAUUACUAUUAUUAUUAUUAUUAUUAUUAUUAUUUUUUGGUUUCUUUUGGGGGGAAGGGAGGGGAAGAGUUCUAGGGGUGGGGUUUGCAAUAUAAAACACACAAUAAAAACCUUAGUAAAUAAAAAUGUGGAAAACCCACCCCUCUGCCUUGCUGUCUGCUUCACGUGGUGAGCUCCAGGCAAUGUGAGACGAGCUUUAAAGAAGAAAAUCCCAUUUCAGCCCUUUGCCUUGCCCUGUCUCUAUUUUCCUGCUGCCUUUGGAGCUUUGCCAGGGUGUUCACCACCUCACACGUUCUCAGACACUGACAGGAAAAGUUUAAAACUUCCACCAACACCUGAAUUUUCACCUUGCCAAGGGAGAAACCAGGCAGUUGUUUGCAGAUGUGUGCAGGAAAAUCCUUCACUUGGAUGCAGACCUGGAAGCUGUGGCUGCCUGUGGGACCCCUGGAGAAGGAGACAGGACAGCCCCUGGCAGCAGGACAGGGACCGAGCCAGGAGUCGCACGGGGAGGAGGGAGCUGGAGGAGGAUCCAAGGCUAGGAGCUGAAGCGUUUUAGGAAGGUAAGGCUGGCCUCAGCUCUGAGCUUCUGUCCACUCCUGCAAGGCCCUCUCCGAGUCCAAACCCACCUGGGAAGUGACUCCAGGUGGGUCACCUUGUCCUGGAGCUUCCACGAGGGGAUUCAGGCACUGCAAUGUUGGGUUUGCCUUUUGGAACGGCUUUUUAAGCCAGGCUGUUUCUGUGCUGUUCCUAUUACAGAGAGAAGGGAUUGUUAGCCCUGACCAAGCCAACAUUGCUUUUAGAAUUAAGAUUUCACAGAAGAUUUGUAAACUUGCAAGGUUGGACUGGAACAAAAUCCAAGUCUGGAGCUCUCAAAGCACACUUGGAAGGCCUGGCUGGUUCAGCACGUGGCGAUGCCUCCCUGCAAGGACUUCACAGUGCCCUGGGGUGAUCUGGCUGUGGGGGAAAACAUCCCCAGACACUAGAGCCAGGUCAGCAGGGUGGGUCUGCCCCCUCAUCACCCCUGCCCACCCCACAGAACCUCAGGAUCCCUCCCCCAGUGUGGGGGAAAGGCAGGAGCAGCAGCUCUGGCAGCUCUUUGCCCAGUCCCAGGUUUGGGCAGGGCUGGAAUUCAUGGGAAUUUCAGCCUUAUCUUGGGAGCCUGGCCCAGCUGUGCUGCCCAGCCCUGGAGAAGAGCUUUGGGAGAGGCAGCAGCUCCCACACUCACAGUUCUUGCACCCUGUGGGAGAGUUUGGAGUGUUGGAGCCAAGAGAACCCGACAAAUGCCAGCAGUGCACUGGGACUGGUCCCUGCAGAGCCAGCCCCGGGCAGGAAGGAAAGUGAUGCCCGCAGAGAGAAGCAAGCUGGGGCUCAGCUCUCGGGAGGAGGUUUUUCCUCAUCUCUGCAGCCUCCCUGAGCUCUGUGAUGGAGCAGCAACCUGGCAGGAGCCUCAGCGCUGCUCCCCAGCCACUGCCACCAUCCCCCAGAAAGCCCCCACUGGGGCUGGGCUUGUGCAUGCCCUGGCUGAGUCCUAUUUCAUCUCCUCUGCAGAUCCAGGGAUCUCCCAGCUCAGGCACCCUGCUAGGUACUCCUGGGAAUACCCAGAAGGAAAAGGGAGCCGCAUCUUUUUCCGCCCUGCUGGGGGAGCCGUGAGAAAGCUGGGAAUGACCCCUCUAAAGUGACCAACACAUCAGAGUGUGUAUUUUACCUAAAGUAAGGAACAGCAGCUGGAGACAGAGCUGGCACCUGGUGAGGCAGGACCCUUCCCUUGGGAAUAGUUCCCUGCCCAGCGCUGCAUCCACAUCUCCAGGGCCCAGAGGGCUCAGCUGGGACAUCAGGACCACGGGAGUGCCAGGAGAGGGGAGGGCAGCCCGCGGCAGGAUCCCGGGAGCCGAGCCCUGUGCCAGGCUCCAGGGUGGCUGGAGCACGGCGAUGGAGCACGGCGAUGGAGCCCAGGAACGGGGAUGUGCCGAGGAGCGCUCCCUGUUCCCUGGAGGCGCUCCAGAGCCUCCUUCCCUUCCUUGUCCCUCCAGCCUGGCUGCCGUGACCCGAGCCCGAGGUGGGAUCCCUCCCUCUGCUCAGCUCGGUCAUUCCCCUCGCGGUGGGGAGGAGAAGCAGGGCAGGGCAAGCUGCAGGCCGGCUUUGCCCUCAGGGGUUGGAAGUGAUUCUGCAGCAGCUUUUCCUCAUCUCUGCGGUUCUUUAGCCACGUUUGUCCCUUGCCCCGCGUGGAGAAAUGCUCCACUCCCACUGUGGUCCCAGGUUUCGUGUGUGCCUUUGGCCCCCCUGUCCCGGUUUCUCAGCCCAAAUCUGUGCUCAGAAACCUGCAGAAAUUAAACGAAGCUGCUCAGGCACGUUGUGAGCGGCCCUAUCGUCUCCUGGCAGAGGUGCAGCCUUGGCUGGGGCCUGUCCCGGCAGGGGGAAACCCAGGGGAGAAGCUGGGACAGCCCGAGGUGGCCAGGUCAGAGCUCAGCACCUCCUCCUGUGCUCCCCAGGGCCUCGGGGCUCGGUGUCCCCUGCCCUGUCCCCACCUGUCCCUGUGCCCUGCUCCCUGGAUGGGCAGGGGGGCUCCAAGCCUGCUCUCUCCUCUCGAUGGAGAGAGGCUGAAUUUUAGCCCGGGUUUAUGUACAUUGGUUUUGUCACAUCAUUUGCAGAGGCCCCGGACAUUCUGCCUGACCAAUUCCAGCGCCCUUUGCCUAAGCCGCGCUCUGGCUUUAAUGUUUUUAAUGGAGCCGAAGGUGGUGCCAUUAGGGAAAAUUAAGGGAACAAAGCCCUGGCUUGGUUCUGCCAUUUGCUUCCCCUUCCAGCAUCCCCGCAGCCCCCAGCCCACCCCGAUCACCGGCGGCGCUGCUCCCUCCGCUCCUUUCCCAGCUCCCGAUGGGAACAGACCCCGGCUGGAGCCUCGCAGGAGGCGGGGAUGCUCACACAGAGCUCACACAGAGACACAGCGGCUCCCCGGCUGAAAGCGGGAGCUCACCGUGCUCUCCCGGCUGUCCCCAGCACGGGCAGGAAGGGGUUAACAACUUCUGCACGGAGCGGCCGAGCCCCUUCCCCUCCCCGGGAGCCGCGGUCCUGGCGGUGCUGCCAACUAAGAGAGCCCUUCGGGGUCAUCCCCCUCUUCCUUCCCACUGCGUGUCUCCCCCGGCCGCUUUAUUGGGGGUGGGAGCGGGGCUGGCUCCGAGGAGCCCGCCUGUGUCCCCUGCAGCCCCCCGGUCCCUGCAGCCCCCCCGGGCCCUGCAGCCCCCCGGGCCCAGCCAGCAGUGCCCGCUGCCCCAGAACAGCCCUGACGGAUUCCCUGGAGCACAGGAGCUUUGGGAAGGAGGGACACGGGCACAUCUGCGCUGCCAGGCAGGAAUGAGUCCCUCGGGCAGGAAUUCACCUCUCCCCGCUGUCUCACACCCCUCUUGUGACAGAGAUCGGAGCGGCAGGACAGCUCGUGUUUCAGGGCCCUGGGAGCCCUGCGGAGGCUCUGGGGCUCGGGACGGGCACACCCAGCUCCACAGGGAUGCUCAAGGUGUGGCUUUAAUCCGCGCUGCCACGAAAGCUCCAUCCCACAGAUCCAGCAGGAGCUGCGGGUAGGAGCUGGGACACCUGGAGCCACUGGUGGCACAACUCACACCUUUUGUUCCUCCCCGUCUCCAGCAAAGUCAAACCUUAAAUCACAGAGUUUGGUGAAAGUGGUACAAAACCAGGCAGAACCAGGAAGACACCAGCCUCGGGUGCUCUGGAAUAUCCCCUGGGAGCCCGUGAGUCACUGCGGGCACUCAGACUCCACUUCUAUUUAUCUGGUGAUACUGGUUUUUGUUGGAUGGGUUUUAUUACAUCCCAGCGGUUUUCACAAGGCAACCUCGGCGGGGAAAGGCUGUCCCCACUCCAGCUCCCAUCCCAUUAACACCCCACUGUUCCCUGCCCCCUUUCCAGGCAAAGCAAAGCCCAGAUGGGUGGGCAGAGACAGCCUCGGGCAGCUGGGCUGGGACUCAGGGAAAUGUCCUGAGCCUGGAGAUGGGAAACACCUGAGCUGGAGAUGGGAAACACCUGAGCUGGAGAUGGGAAACACCUGAGCUGGAGAUGGGAAACACCUGAGCUGGAGAUGGGAAACAAACACCUGAGCUGGAGAUGGGAAACACCUGAGCUGGAGAUGGGAAACAAACACCUGAGCUGGAGAUGGGAAACACCUGAGCUGGAGAUGGGAAACAAACACCUGAGCUGGAGAUGGGAAACACCUGAGCUGGAGAUGGGAAACAAACACCUGAGCUGGAGAUGGGAAACACCUGAGCUGGAGAUGGGAAACGCCUGAACUGGAGAUGGGAAACGCCUGAACUGGAGAUGGGAAACGCCUGAACUGGAGAUGGGAAACACCUGGGGACUGUGGGGCACAAGCAGGUUCCAGUUUGGCUUCUCUCAGUCCAGCUCCUUGCAGCGACCAGCAGGAAGGAGCAGCAGGAGCUCCUGUGUCUGCCUGGGUAGGAGUGGAGGGGUUUUGGGGGGAUUCACCACCUGAGCCCCACCUUUUGGGCGUGCUGCUGGUCCUUCUAAUUCCUGACUGCUGGGGCAGCUGUGGGGAGAGGCUGAGCUCUGUCCCCCUGGCCACUCCUGCUUCUAGCUGGGGCUGCUCUGGGGGACUUGGUUGGGGUGGAAGGUUCUGGAAGGUGCUGGAUCUGGGAAUUGGGCUGUGUGCCCCGUUUUUAGGGUCUCGUCUGUGCUGGCAUGUUUGGGGCCAGGACUGGACAACAUUUCCUCCCCCCCAGCCCCAUGUCUGGGGCAGCCUUGUCCUUUUUGCUUUCCCCACCCUCCCAGCACUGCCUGCACCUGCCCAGCUUUUCUCGCUUUUUUUCCCAAGAGGGAAAACGGCCCCACUGAGGCGUGUCCAGAGCUGGGCAAGGGAGGGCUGGAAUUGCUGUGGGGAUCCAGGAGGGAACGCAGCCGAGAAAGGCCCUGUUCCUGCAGCCUGGCCUCGGCACUUGGGGAUGCUGUGAGGGCUCUGUGCCCCGCAGGAAAAGGUGGAGAAAUCCGCAGGAGCAGGAGCAGCCAGGCAGGGACAGAGAGGGGGGGCUGGGGAGGGCUGGACACGGUCCCGCUGCUCCUUGGGACAGGGCCACCCCCAGCCAGGGUGACCCAGAGCCAGCCCUCGAGGCUGGGGGUGCUGGGAGAGGGUUUGGGAUGGCGCCGGGAGCAGGAACCCUGGGAAGGUUUGGGUGGCAGCUGCUGGCAGCAGAGCCGGGGCUGUUUGUCACCGCAGCGGGGGCAGCGCAGCCCCCGGCAUCCCCGCCGGGGGGAUGGACCGGGGGAUGCUGUCACCAUGGACACGGGCAGCGAUGGGCUCCGCUGUUUUUCCAGGAGCACCAGGAUGCCGGGAUCCCGGGAUGGGCGGUCGGGAACCCGGCCAUUCGGGGCUUCCACCGGGAAAACUCCUGCCCGGGCUCCCCGCGGCGUGUGUGACCCCAGAGCUGUGUCCGGGAGCCCCAGCCCAGCCCCGUGUCCUGCAGGGGAUCAGCACCUGCCUGUGCUCGCUGAGAAAGGGCCCCGCUGAGCUCGGGCCGGAGCUUCCCGCACCUCCCUGGAUGCUCCAGCUCCGCCUGGGGCGCUGCCAGGACCCUCCUCCUGUUCCCCUCAGUUUGCAGCCAGGGCUGAAACCCUCGCCUCGAGAGGAGAUCGGGGGAGGUGGAGCCACCGCCAACCUGGAAUGACCGGAGGGAGAAAGGGGCUCAGCCAGAGCUCCAGAAGAGGAGCCUGGGCCAGCCCAGCCUCCCCUCGCCCGCAGCCCGCCGAGGGUGAUGUUUUCACUGUGGAGCUCUGGAAUAGGGAGACAGGAAGAUGCUCCAAGUUCAGUGUGUGCACAAAGCCUGAGGGAGGGAGAAGAGUUCUCCUCCAACCCACAGCAAGGGAAAAAAGGGUGAGUAAAACCCCAAAUCUGGUCACUGUACUGAUUAGGAAUAAUUAAACAAACUCUCCAAGCAGCCCAGGAGUUGAUUGGAUUAAAAAAAGUGUAUUGGAUGCCCAAUACAAAAUAAUAAACAUGAAGUUAUUAAAAAAAGCCAUAGAGGAUACAGCAAAUACUACAGAAAAGCAAAAAAAUUGUACAGAAAGGUCGACAUCUACAGCAGUCCUUGAAAUUCUUCUACAUGAGAAUCAUAAAACAAUGUACAGGUUUGGUUUGUUCCUUUUUCCCCAAAUGUCUGAGGGAAGCUGUCACUGCACAGCUGGACUAUGACACUACAAAGAUACACAAUGUUCCAAAGUUAAAAUCACAGGAUAUGUAAGAAAACGUAGCAUUAAAAUGUGAAAAAGUGCAAUACAGAUUGUACAUUGAAUUGAAUAAAUGUUUUUUUCUUUUUUUUUUUUUCUCAGUUUAACCUUAAAAAACCAACUUUGAACAGUUGUUUUAGCAUUAAAAAUAUUCCCCCUCCCCAAAUUCAAUGACAAUAUUAACAUUCAUGGUGUUCUACAUUAGGAAUAUUCACAAAGGCCCCCAGCUGGGAAUACUGUGUGU
This is a long non-coding RNA of Parus major (Great Tit), 8820 nucleotides long. RefSeq lists it as uncharacterized. Lineage: Eukaryota; Metazoa; Chordata; Aves; Passeriformes; Paridae. The record is from RefSeq and is a predicted model, not a curated record. The transcript is spliced from 2 exons.